This 1080-nucleotide ribosomal RNA is filed under the name uncultured Rhizaria. RNAcentral's name for it is "SSU rRNA". It matches the Rfam family "Eukaryotic small subunit ribosomal RNA", at positions 577 to 1674 of the family's 1831-position model. The record is from RNAcentral.
CGGUAAUUCCAGCUCCAAUAGCGUAUACUAAAGUUGUUGCAGUUAAAAAGCUCGUAGUUGGAUUUCUGCGGGGACGGAGCGGCCGGUCGCAACUUGCGACUCGAGCUAGCGCUUUCCCCGCAUCCUGCCGCGAACCGUGCUACCAUUAGCUUGGUGGCGCUGGGGAUCGGCUCGAUUACUUUGAGAAAAAUAGAGUGUUCAAAGCAGGCCACACGCCUUGAAUAAGUUAGCAUGGAAUAAUGACUAAGGACUUCGGUUCUAUUUUGUUGGUGUUCGGGACUGAAGUAAUGAUUGAUAGGGACAGUUGGGGCGGUCUGUAUUCCAAAGCGAGAGGUGAAAUUCUUAGACCUUCGGAAGACAAACAGCUGCGAAAGCGUUCCGCAAGGAUGUUCCCUUUGAUCAAGAACGAAAGUUGGGGGAUCGAAGACGAUCAAAUACCGUCGUAGUCUCAACUAUAAACUAUACCAGCUAGGGAUCGGUCAACGUUUAAUCAUUCGACUUGAUCGGCACCUUAUGAGAAAUCAAAGCAUCUGGGUUCCGGGGGGAGUAUGGUCGCAAGGCUGAAACUUAAAGGAAUUGACGGAAGGGCACCACCAGCCGUGGAGCCUGUGGCUUAAUUUGACUCAACACGGGAAAACUUACCAGGUCCAGACAUAGUAAGGAUUGACAGAUUGAUAGCUCUUUCUUGAUUCUGUGGGUGGUGGUGCAUGGCCGUUCUUAGUUGGUGGAGUGAUUUGUCUGGUUAAUUCCGUUAACGAACGAGACCCCAGCCUGCUAAAUAGCGCGGCUGAGCUUUGCUCGGUGCGAGCUUCUAGAGGGACUAUGAUGCGCGAUAGCACAUGGAAGUUUGGGGCAAUAACAGGUCUGUGAUGCCCUUAGAUGUACUGGGCCGCACACGGGCUACACUGGCGCCUGCAACGAGCAUAUCAGCUGGCCCGAGAGGGUCUUGGCUAAUCUUUUGAACCGGCGCCGUGCUUGGGAUUGACCAUUGCAAUUGUUGGUCAUGCAACGAGGAAUGCCUUGUAAACGCGAGUCAUCAGCUCGCAUUGAAUACGUCCCUGCUCCUUGUACACACCGCCC